Non-coding RNA from Xyrichtys novacula (pearly razorfish), 109 nucleotides. The record is from the annotation of a GenBank genome assembly. Lineage: Eukaryota; Metazoa; Chordata; Actinopteri; Labriformes; Labridae.
ACCUGGUUAUAUCCUGAGACAUUACCUGGUUAUAACCUGGUUAUAACCUGGUUUUAACCUGAAACCUUCCCUGGUUAUAACCAGGUAAUGUCUCAGGUUAUAACCUGGU